AACGAACGCUGGCGGCAGGCUUAACACAUGCAAGUCGAACGCACCUUCGGGUGAGUGGCAGACGGGUGAGUAACGCGUGGGAACCUACCCAAUAGUACGGAAUAACUCAGGGAAACUUGAGCUAAUACCGUAUACGCCUCGGGAAGGAAUUUAUCGCUAUUGGAUGGGCCCGCGUUGGAUUAGCUAGUUGGUGAGGUAAUGGCUCACCAAGGCUACGAUCCAUAGCUGGUCUGAGAGGAUGAUCAGCCACACUGGGACUGAGACACGGCCCAGACUCCUACGGGAGGCAGCAGUGGGGAAUAUUGGACAAUGGGGGAAACCCUGAUCCAGCCAUGCCGCGUGAGUGAAGAAGGCCCUAGGGUUGUAAAGCUCUUCGCUAGGGAAGAUAAUGACGGUACCUAGUAAAGAAGCCCCGGCUAACUUCGUGCCAGCAGCCGCGGUAAUACGAAGGGGGCUAGCGUUGUUCGGAAUUACUGGGCGUAAAAGCGCACGUAGGCGGAUUGUUAAGUCAGAGGUGAAAUCCCGGGGCNCAACCCGGAAACGCCUUUGAUACUGGCAAUCUAGAGUCCGGAAGAGGCUGAGUGGAAUUCCGAGUGUAGAGGUGAAAUUCGUAGAUAUUCGGAGGAACACCAGAGGCGAAGGCGGCUCACUGGUCCGGUACUGACGCUGAGGUGCGAAAAGCGU
RNAcentral lists this ribosomal RNA (684 nucleotides) under uncultured bacterium. RNAcentral describes it as "bacterial SSU rRNA". It matches the Rfam family "Bacterial small subunit ribosomal RNA", at positions 28 to 762 of the family's 1533-position model. The record is from RNAcentral.